CAAACUAUUAAAUAAGACUCACGCCUUAAUGAAAUAUAACCUUAUAUGCUAUUAGAUAGAGUAAUAUAAGGAAAGGGCAGUAGGUUAGUAGGGUACAUUUAAGUUUUGUACUGCAAUGCUCCUCAAAAUGUAAGACUGUAAAGCUGGAUGAAUGUAAAAUAUCACAUUUAUUACCAUUUAACCCAUUAAGCGCCAGCGCUCUCCCCUUGACGAGUAAAAUCGUCUGGCGUUAGACAGAGUAAAACACUAAAGUAGAGUGCGUCAGGGUGCAAUGUGACUCAGCGGGUUAACUAGACACAUGGGCAGAUAGGUCAGUUAACCCAUUAAGCGCCAGCGCUCUCUCCUUGACGAGUAAAAUCAUCUGGCGUUAGACAGAGUAAAACACUAAAGUAGGGUGCGUCAGGGUGCAAUGCGACUCAAUGUGUUAAACUGCAAAUGGUAAUGUAGAUUAGUUGUGCCGAGCUCUGCACUUAUUACAUUAC
Molecule: non-coding RNA, 482 nt
Organism: Paramuricea clavata
Lineage: Eukaryota; Metazoa; Cnidaria; Anthozoa; Malacalcyonacea; Plexauridae
Source: the annotation of a GenBank genome assembly